RNAcentral lists this long non-coding RNA (959 nucleotides) under Cyanoderma ruficeps (rufous-capped babbler). Its description in RNAcentral is "lncRNA (ENSCRFG00000008501.1)". Lineage: Eukaryota; Metazoa; Chordata; Aves; Passeriformes; Timaliidae. The record is from RNAcentral.
UUUCCACCAGCCCCUUCUCCACCCUCCACCCCUCAUUUUUCCCUCAAUAUUUAAUCUUCCUCUGUUCAAUUUGGAGCAUUUCCCAGCUUUUCCCAACACAGAGAAGGAACAAACCCUCGGUGGGGGGUUCAACCCCCCCAGAUACUCCCAGUGGUGAACCCAGCCUCGAGUUUUGCAGCAUGUCAGGGACUAAUACUGCCACCUACCGAGACAGACCUCCUGUCAUUAAACCUCUUAUUUCUGUUUUCCCCACCCAAAAGUGCUUCCCACGUUUUUUGGGAACACACGAGGCCUCUCAAACCAACUCUCUUCUCUCUGGAAUCCAGGUGCGCUUUGGUGCCGGGCCCCCAAACGUCCUUCGGCGUGUUUUUGGGGGGCCUUUUUUGGGCUCAGGGCUUUGUGGAUACCAGGUUGGGAUGGCGACUGGGGACAACAGAGGCGCAGCACGGGAUCAGGAUUUUGUGGGUACCAGGCUGAGAUGGUGGAUGGAGAGACUGAGGCACAGCCAGAGCUCAUCAGGCCCCGACGGCUCCCACCUGCGCCUGGUUUGGUCCCGGGUAUUUAAGGCCCUUUUUCAGCAGCUUUCUCCCCUUUUGAGAGCCACCUCAGUGGGUGUAACUUUGGUCCUUUUGUGGGAUGGGGGAGCCCAGCCGAGCUGGAGAGUGGCCGGAGGUCCCAGAGCCCGCGGGGGCCCUGCAGCCCACGCCGCCCCCCGAGAUGCUGGAGAGGCUCCUGGGCCAGCGCUUCGGGCCCCUGCCCCGGCCGGCCACCAUCGCCCGCCUGCGGCGCGGCCCUCAGGGCGGCUACGAGCCCACCGGGGACCCCGCCGAGGUGCUGGAGCGGCGGCAGGCAGCCAACGCCAAGGAGAGGGAGAGGAUCCGAAAUCUCAACAGUGGCUUCUCCCAGCUGCGGACCCUGGUGCCGCUGAUGCCGCGGGACCGCCGGCCCAGCAAGGCUGA